This is a non-coding RNA of Triticum urartu, 125 nucleotides long. The record is from Rfam. NCBI's taxonomy places the organism in Eukaryota, Viridiplantae, Streptophyta, Magnoliopsida, Poales, Poaceae.
UAUCUACUCCCUCGCCUAGAAUUACUUGUCGUAGAAAUGGAUGUAUCUAGACGUAUUUUUAGUUCUAGAUACAUACAUUUGUAUCCAUUUCCGCGACAAGUAAUUCGGGACGGAGGGAGUAUUAU